RNAcentral lists this ribosomal RNA (1100 nucleotides) under bacterium. RNAcentral describes it as "bacterial SSU rRNA". It matches the Rfam family "Bacterial small subunit ribosomal RNA", at positions 56 to 1143 of the family's 1533-position model. The record is from RNAcentral.
UGCAGUCGAACGGCAGCAUGAUCUAGCUUGCUAGAUUGAUGGCGAGUGGCGAACGGGUGAGUAAUACAUCGGAACGUGCCCUGUAGUGGGGGAUAACUAGUCGAAAGAUUAGCUAAUACCGCAUACGACCUGAGGGUGAAAGUGGGGGACCGCAAGGCCUCAUGCUAUAGGAGCGGCCGAUGUCUGAUUAGCUAGUUGGUGAGGUAAAGGCUCACCAAGGCGACGAUCAGUAGCUGGUCUGAGAGGACGAUCAGCCACACUGGGACUGAGACACGGCCCAGACUCCUACGGGAGGCAGCAGUGGGGAAUUUUGGACAAUGGGGGCAACCCUGAUCCAGCAAUGCCGCGUGUGUGAAGAAGGCCUUCGGGUUGUAAAGCACUUUUGUCCGGAAAGAAAUCGCACUUACUAAUAUUAGGUGUGGAUGACGGUACCGGAAGAAUAAGGACCGGCUAACUACGUGCCAGCAGCCGCGGUAAUACGUAGGGUCCAAGCGUUAAUCGGAAUUACUGGGCGUAAAGCGUGCGCAGGCGGUUGUGCAAGACCGAUGUGAAAUCCCCGGGCUUAACCUGGGAAUUGCAUUGGUGACUGCACGGCUAGAGUGUGUCAGAGGGGGGUAGAAUUCCACGUGUAGCAGUGAAAUGCGUAGAGAUGUGGAGGAAUACCGAUGGCGAAGGCAGCCCCCUGGGAUAACACUGACGCUCAUGCACGAAAGCGUGGGGAGCAAACAGGAUUAGAUACCCUGGUAGUCCACGCCCUAAACGAUGUCAACUAGUUGUUGGGGGAUUCAUUUCCUUAGUAACGUAGCUAACGCGUGAAGUUGACCGCCUGGGGGAGUACGGUCGCAAGAUUAAAACUCAAAGGAAUUGACGGGGACCCGCACAGCGGUGGAUAAAAUUGGGAUUUAAUUUCAAUGCAACGCGAAAAAACCUUACCUACCCUUGACAUGCCACUAACGAAGCAGAGAUGCAUUAGGUGCUCGAAAAGAGAAAGUGGACACAGGUGCUGCAUGGCUGUCGUCGCUCGUGCCUGAGAAUUUUUGGGGUUAAGUCCCGCAACGAGCGCAACCCUUGUCUCUAGUUGCUACGAAAGGGCACUCUAA